AACGAACGCUGGCGGCAUGCCUAACACAUGCAAGUCGAACGAGACCUUCGGGUUUAGUGGCGGAGGGGGGCGUAAGGCGGGGGAAGUUGCACGUAGGUUCGGAAUAACUCCCUGAAGGGGGUGCUAAUACAGGUGAAUGUCAUCGGAGAAAAGAGUUAUCGCUUUUGGGUGGGGCCGGGUUGGAUUAGCUAGUUGGUAGUGUACAAGCCUACCAUGGCGACGAUGCAUAGCUGGUCUGAGAGGAUGCUCCGGCACACUUGAACUGAGACACGGCCCAGACUCCUACGGGAGGCAGCAGUGGAGAAUAUUGGACAAUGGACGAAGGCCUGAUCCAGCAAUGCCGCGUAAGUGGUGCAGGCCUUAGUGUUGUAAAGCUCUUUUACCCGAGAUGAUAAUGACAGUACCGGGAGAAUAAGCGCCGGCUAACUCCGUG
This 433-nucleotide ribosomal RNA is filed under the name uncultured bacterium. RNAcentral describes it as "partial 16S ribosomal RNA". It matches the Rfam family "Bacterial small subunit ribosomal RNA", at positions 29 to 507 of the family's 1533-position model. The record is from RNAcentral.